Molecule: long non-coding RNA, 1199 nt
Organism: Stegostoma tigrinum
Lineage: Eukaryota; Metazoa; Chordata; Chondrichthyes; Orectolobiformes; Stegostomatidae
Exons: 3
Source: RefSeq, a predicted model, not a curated record
UCUACGUGGUCUGCAUGAUUGACUGCACUGCUAUCCACAUAAUAGUGAAACGGUCUGCAAGCGGUUGCAAUCAAGACUCAAAGUGAAAUUUUCUCCGAGUAUGUAACCAAAGCAAUUAACUCAGAUGUAUUUAAAUGUGGUGGAGAAUUUUUUUUACAGUAUUAGUAAAUGAAGUUAUUCAUAUAUUCAUCAAAUAAUGAAUGCCAAAUACAUCGUUCUUCUCAUCAUCUUGGUAGCAAUGUCUUCGGUAUGUGAAGAACUCCAGCAGUUUGUACGUUGGGCAGAAACAAAUCUAACAGAAGACAUUAGUCAAUCAGUGAACCGCAUCAUUCGCUGCUCAGGAUGCAAACAAUCUACUACACGAGAAAAUAAACGCACAAGACCCAAACUCUCACGCAAAGGUCCACUGCCUUUUUAAAAUCAGACACUCUGCUGCACGGAGCACUUAUUUUCUGCAAAGAUCAUAUCCUGUGCCAUCUACGAAUAGAACAACAAGGACAAACAUCCUUUUAAGAUCUGCUUGAGGAAUACAAUCUAUUUUUCUGUUGGGAUGCAUAAGAGAUCAGUUUCAGCUGCUUGCUACUGCUGCCACAGAAGGAUCCCAUUUUUUCCAGAUGUGAAUGCGCCACUUGAGUGAAUAUAAUCAAAAGGUCAAAACAAAAUGCAACAUGAUUUGAGACAGACUGUUCACGACAUAUAACCACCAUUUUCCCCACAUUCAGUACUCCAAGGAAGACCAAUUCUAGCUGUAAGCAAAAACAACUAUUCAGCUGUUUCUAUUAAACAAGCCCAGUAAAGUUCAAAUAAUUGAUGUGUCUAAUAAUUAGCUUUAAAAAUGGCAACCAUCUGACAUUUAAAAAUGCAAAUAUUGUUUCUCCAAGUAAAUGCAUCAUUAAAGAGUAUUUCAGAAGUGAAAUACUGUCAAUUACAGGGGUUCUUCUUGAAUUAUUCACUGACCAUGUAAACAGCUGAAUACAUGCUGGCAAAUCAGAGCUGAAACAUGAUCUAAGAUUUAAUGAAAGAUCUUCAGGUACAUAUUAGUGCUACAAGGUUGUACUUUGCUAUUUUCUGUUCUGAGCUUUUCAAGAGGAGACAUAAAUCUUGCCACAUAUAUCCUGAGAACAUUGCUUAAUACCACAUAAAAAAACAAUUUUUAUGAAAUAUUUGAACAUUUCUAACAUCAAUAUUUACACAUUGAA